This is a long non-coding RNA of Notothenia coriiceps (black rockcod), 1322 nucleotides long. RefSeq lists it as uncharacterized. Lineage: Eukaryota; Metazoa; Chordata; Actinopteri; Perciformes; Nototheniidae. The transcript is spliced from 3 exons. The record is from RefSeq and is a predicted model, not a curated record.
UCUACAACACAUCAGAGCGAGGAUCGAGCACACUCUGAAGCUUCACUCUUCGUACGAUCACCGCCUGCAGGACGGCCGACCGGAGAUCACCACCUGUCACUCAAAGACUGCCACCAACGUGGACUACAUCCUGUACACACCAGAACUCGUCCCCCCUCCUUCACUUCCUGGUGGGCGGGGCCUAACGCUACUUGGCAGGCUGUCAUUGGUCGGCCGGUCAGAGCUGGAGAAAGUCCACGGGCUGCCCAAUCAGAACCACUCAUCUGAUCACCUGCCCAUCUUCGCUCGUUUCCGCCUCCGCUGCUGACCCCCUAGAGGUCACGAUGCCUUCAAGUGCAGCUCAGGAAAGUACGGACGGUUAAGAUGUGGACAGAAGUGAAACGAAAUCAUAUCAAUUAAGUGUUUUGUGCUACGAGACAGAACAUUAGAGUCAGUAUUUCACCAACCAGCAAUUUCAGCCACAUUUAAAUACUCUUGAAAUCCUUAAUACCAAUAAUAAUCCAAUGUGUGUGUGACAGGAAAACCCUCAGUGUUGUUCAAAUGCAAAAUUAAAACACACCAAACUUUAACUUAGUAUUUCCAAAUGUUCCGGGACAAAACAGCUGACUGAAAUGUUCCCAUCUUUGAGUUUGAAUUUGUAAAAAUGUGUCACCUGUGUUCUAGUUAUUACUACAGGGCAGAAGGAAGACGGUUCCCCUGCAGAGUGUUUUAGUCUUAGUCUCCACUAUGAUGUAAAAAACGGUUUAAAAACACAUCACACUCGUCUGUGUUUGGAGAAAUGAAGUUAUGUAUGAAUUGAGUUUCCGGCACCAUGUGAUCUAUGAAGACAUUUUAAGACUUAUUUUUAAAGCCUUAAGUGAAAUCGCUGCCAACGACCUCUCUGUUUACUUUGACAACACGACGAAUAACAUCGCCCUCAAGCUGUUAUAGUCUGGUAUUGUUUAUAAGUGAAGACGUCGACAUGCAGCACAGUUCCUUUCACUACAGAACAACGUGGACAUAUUUUCCCCUGAAUAUUCAAUGUUUAGCUCAUUUUUAAGCUACAAAAAUGCAUGAAAUAUCAAUUGAAGAAAAUGAAAUCAGCUAUGACGUUUAACGUAUAUGUUCUAGUUUAAGUUGUGAUGUCAAACAUCGUGAAGCACAAGUUUCACGGCUACCGUUGUGUCGUUUGCAGACUUUUAAAAGCUUGAACACUGGAGUAUAAAUGUGCCGUCACGUUGAGAGGAAACUCUCGGUACUUUAUUUUGACAAAUAACGAGUGGAUGUAUUUUUCUUACACUUAUUUUGGAUCAGAUUGUAAAUAAAGGACUUGUGUUUUUCUA